GGUGGAAAUGUAUGGAAGUCUUGAUCAAAACGCUAUCAAUCAUUAACGUUACACUAUUUGUUGAAGUAUUUAUAUUUAGGUGUUGCAUUUCCAGCUGACUAUUAUAUUAUCUCCUACUGAGGCAGUAGCUUCCUGCAGUGCCACUUCCUGAAACUAUAGGUGUGGCACAAUGGUAUCAUCGUCCAGCCCCAAACCAUCGCCUGAGACGGCCAAUCAGCGUGAGGUAGUAUCCUUUGGACAG
This is a long non-coding RNA of Limulus polyphemus (Atlantic horseshoe crab), 241 nucleotides long. RefSeq lists it as uncharacterized. The record is from RefSeq and is a predicted model, not a curated record. Lineage: Eukaryota; Metazoa; Arthropoda; Merostomata; Xiphosura; Limulidae. The transcript has 2 exons.